UCUGUGUAUUGUAGGCAGAGUUUACAUAAGGCAUAAUGCAUCCCUACUUCAACACAGCUGAAUCAUGUGGUUGGAUUACCUCUUCAGCAUGCCAUCAAGUUUGGCAAAGGCCUGGUAACAAGCCAUUCAUUUGAUUCAGGUGUGUCGGAACAAGGAUGCAUCUAAAAGCUGCAGGACAGUAGCUCUCAAGGACUGUAGUUGGCCACCUCUGACAUAAGGUAUCGAAAGUAAAGAACUGGCCCCCAUCAGUGUUAUAGGAUUUAAUACUACUGCUACAGAUUUUUAAGGCUAAGCACAGUUUUUGUUACCAACAUCAAAAUGCAAACCCCAGACAAAUUCCAAAGGAAUCCAAGCCAAGCAGAGUUAAGCCUCUUUCCAGAAACAAUAGCCAGCUGGAGACACAAGAUGGCAGUAACUUAAAGGAUGGAUGCAAGCAGAAAGGAGAAACUUCCACAUAAGUCCAGAUGCAGGUCCUCUCAGUGAGGAUCACCUGUCCAUUGUCUUCCAUGUUUCCACCUCAGACAUCAUGAACCUGACGGUAAUGCGUACGUUCAGGUCAAAUACAGAGUUAAAAGUAUUUGAAAUUUUG
Molecule: long non-coding RNA, 589 nt
Filed under: Oreochromis niloticus (Nile tilapia)
Lineage: Eukaryota; Metazoa; Chordata; Actinopteri; Cichliformes; Cichlidae
Description: lncRNA (ENSONIG00000040815.1)
Source: RNAcentral